RNAcentral lists this ribosomal RNA (255 nucleotides) under uncultured bacterium. RNAcentral describes it as "partial 16S ribosomal RNA". It matches the Rfam family "Bacterial small subunit ribosomal RNA", at positions 524 to 776 of the family's 1533-position model. The record is from RNAcentral.
UACGUAGGUGGCAAGCGUUGUCCGGAAUUAUUGGGCGUAAAGCGCGCGCAGGCGGUCCUUUAAGUCUGAUGUGAAAGCCCACGGCUCAACCGUGGAGGGUCAUUGGAAACUGGGGGACUUGAGUGCAGGAGAGAAGAGUGGAAUUCCACGUGUAGCGGUGAAAUGCGUAGAGAUGUGGAGGAACACCAGUGGCGAAGGCGAGUCCCUGGACGACUUCCUGACACUGAGGCACGAAAGCUAGGGGGAGCAAACAGG